GACGAACGCUGGCGGCGUGCCUAAUACAUGCAAGUCGAACGCAGUGGGGACGGGUGAGUAACCCGUUGGUAACCUCCCCUCAGAGGGGAUAACCCUUUGAAACAGGUGCUAAACCGAUACUGAUGGAUGGACCCGCGGUGCAUUAGCUAGUUGGUGAGGUAACGGCUCACCAAGGCCACGAUGCAUAGCCGGCCUGAGAGGAUGAGCGGCCACACUGGAACUGAGACACGGCCCAGACUCCUACGGGAGGCAGCAGGAGGGAAUAUUGGGCAAUGGACGAAAGUCUGAACGAGCAACGCCGCGUGAGUGAAGAAGGUGUUCGGAUCGUAAAACUCUGUUGUUAGAGAAGCGGUAUCUAACGAGAAAGCAACGGCUAACUACGUGCCAGCAGCCGCGGUAAUUC
Molecule: ribosomal RNA, 403 nt
Filed under: uncultured bacterium
Lineage: Bacteria
Description: partial 16S ribosomal RNA
Rfam family: Bacterial small subunit ribosomal RNA
Source: RNAcentral